GACGUAGGGCGCGAGCGUUGUCCGGAUUUAUUGGGCGUAAAGAGCUCGUAGGCGGCUUGUCGCGUCGUCCGUGAAAACUUGUGGCUUAACCACAGGCUGGCGGUCGAUACGGGCAAGCUGGAGUUCGGUAGGGGAGACUGGAAUUCCUGGUGUAGCGGUGAAAUGCGCAGAUAUCAGGAGGAACACCGGUGGCGAAGGCGGGUCUCUGGGCCGAUACUGACGCUGAGGAGCGAAAGCGUGGGGAGCGAACAGG
Molecule: ribosomal RNA, 253 nt
Filed under: uncultured bacterium
Lineage: Bacteria
Description: partial 16S ribosomal RNA
Rfam family: Bacterial small subunit ribosomal RNA
Source: RNAcentral